GAGCCUGAACCAGCCAAGUAGCGUGAAGGAUGACUGCCCUAUGGGUUGUAAACUUCUUUUAUAUUAGAAUAAAGUGCAGUAUGUAUACUGUUUUGUAUGUAUAAUAUGAAUAAGGAUCGGCUAACUCCGUGCCAGCAGCCGCGGUAAUACGGAGGAUCCGAGCGUUAUCCGGAUUUAUUGGGUUUAAAGGGAGCGUAGGUGGACUGGUAAGUCAGUUGUGAAAGUUUGCGGCUCAACCGUAAAAUUGCAGUUGAUACUGUCAGUCUUGAGUACAGUAGAGGUGGGCGGAAUUCGUGGUGUAGCGGUGAAAUGCUUAGAUAUCACGAAGAACUCCGAUUGCGAAGGCAGCUCACUGGACUGCAACUGACACUGAUGCUCGAAAGUGUGGGUAUCAAACAGGAUUAGAUACCCUGGUAGUCCACACAGUAAACGAUGAAUACUCGCUGUUUGCGAUAUACAGUAAGCGGCCAAGCGAAAGCAUUAAGUAUUCCACCUGGGGAGUACGCCGGCAACGGUGAAACUCAAAGGAAUUGACGGGGGCCCGCACAAGCGGAGGAACAUGUGGUUUAAUUCGAUGAUACGCGAGGAACCUUACCCGGGCUUAAAUUGCAGUGGAAUGAUGUGGAAACAUGUCAGUGAGCAAUCACCGCUGUGAAGGUGCUGCAUGGUUGUCGUCAGCUCGUGCCGUGAGGUGUCGGCUUAAGUGCCAUAACGAGCGCAACCCUUAUCUUCAGUUACUAACAGGUCAUGCUGAGGACUCUGGAGAGACUGCCGUCGUAAGAUGUGAGGAAGGUGGGGAUGACGUCAAAUCAGCACGGCCCUUACGUCCGGGGCUACACACGUGUUACAAUGGGGGGUACAGAAGGCAGCUACCUGGUGACAGGAUGCUAAUCCCAAAAGCCUCUCUCAGUUCGGAUCGAAGUCUGCAACCCGACUUCGUGAAGCUGGAUUCGCUAGUAAUCGCGCAUCAGCCACGGCGCGGUGAAUACGUUCCCGGGCCUUGUACACACCGCCCGUCAAGCCAUGGGAGCCGGGGGUACCUGAAGUACGUAACCGCAAGGAGCGUCCUAGGGUAAAACUGGUGACUGGGGCUAAGUCGUAACAAGGUAGCCGUACCGGAAGGUGCGGCUGGAACACCUCCUUU
Molecule: ribosomal RNA, 1144 nt
Filed under: Bacteroides fragilis
Lineage: Bacteria; Pseudomonadati; Bacteroidota; Bacteroidia; Bacteroidales; Bacteroidaceae
Description: bacterial SSU rRNA
Rfam family: Bacterial small subunit ribosomal RNA
Source: RNAcentral